UCCGUAGGCGGGCGAUUAAGUCAGAGGUGAAAUCCCACAGCUCAACUGUGGAACUGCCUUUGAUACUGGUUGUCUUGAGUUAUAGUGAAGUAGAUAGAAUAUGUAGUGUAGCGGUGAAAUGCAUAGAUAUUACAUAGAAUACCGAUUGCGAAGGCAGUCUACUAACUGUAUACUGACGCUAAUGGACGAAAGCGUGGGGAGCGAACA
Molecule: ribosomal RNA, 207 nt
Filed under: uncultured bacterium
Lineage: Bacteria
Description: partial 16S ribosomal RNA
Rfam family: Bacterial small subunit ribosomal RNA
Source: RNAcentral